This is a long non-coding RNA of Myotis davidii, 1016 nucleotides long. RefSeq lists it as uncharacterized. Lineage: Eukaryota; Metazoa; Chordata; Mammalia; Chiroptera; Vespertilionidae. The record is from RefSeq and is a predicted model, not a curated record. The transcript is spliced from 5 exons.
ACCUCACAGCUUGCCUCUGCCACCGCGUGGCUGUGAGGGCCCCACACGUUAUUACUGGGCAUAACCUGCCGGGUGGGGAGCGCUCAUCUCUGCUGUGUGCAGAGAGGCAGGCCGGGGAAUAGAAUUCGCUUUUCAAGGAUGUUCAGUCACAGCAGGAAAAGUGCUCUGCGAGCUGUGUGUACACAGCCAGGCCGCCGCCUUGAACCUCCGGAGCUGGCAAACCCUGGGCAGAGUUGGUGCCAUUGGUCCAUUGCUAGUGCUCAGUACCAAGCGCAUCUGCCCUCAGCUGAGACGUACUGAGCAGCUGCAGGGCGCGGCACAGGCUUGUGCACUCCCCACCCUGAAGGCCCUGCUGAGGGGGGAAGAUGGAAAAGAUGAGCCUGUCUGCUCACCUGGUGGGCUCACUGGCACCACAGCUUCCAAUGUCAGCUGCCUGUCUACCUGUCGAGUCUUCAGCUUUGCCUCUCCCCCCGACUCCACCACUGAGACUGGACUGUGAGGCCCCGUGUCCCACAGGUAACCCUAACCUGGCCUGUCCUGUACUUCUCGUGACCGAGCCCGCUCCCCUCUAACCUCUCACCACGUGUUGCAAUCUCUGGCCCACCUAAUGAGAUGCCUAGUCCAGGCGCCUUUGCACGUACUCUUCCUGCCCCUCAGAUCCCCUGGUCUUCCUCUCACAGAACUUAACAUUGAGCAUGAUUACACGAUUCUUCCCAUUGUCCCCAUCCGAGUGCAAACUGCCGGAGGAUACCUGCCUCCUGGGACUCCUCACCCUCUAGCACUCAGCCAGUUCCUGCUCAGGUGCCGGGUCACCUCCCAGGGACACCAUUCCGCACUUCUGGCCAAGUCCAGCCCUCGCCGAUGUUGCCAAAGCCACCCAUCCAGUUGCCUUCCUGCCAAGCAGCACCCUCCCUGAGGGCAGGGCCCACGUGUGCAGCAGAGACGCCUCCAGGAGCAGUGGAGGAGGAACUCACCCGGAAGGUGGCACACCACGGGGAUGCCCAGCUUCUUGAGGU